Molecule: ribosomal RNA, 253 nt
Filed under: uncultured bacterium
Lineage: Bacteria
Description: partial 16S ribosomal RNA
Rfam family: Bacterial small subunit ribosomal RNA
Source: RNAcentral
UACGUAGGGGGCAAGCGUUGUCCGGAAUCAUUGGGCGUAAAGAGCGUGUAGGCGGCCCGGUAAGUCCGCUGUAAAAGUCAAAGGCUCAACCUUUGAAUGUCAGUGGAUACUGCCGGGCUAGAGUCCGGAAGAGGAGAGUGGAAUUCCUGGUGUAGCGGUGAAAUGCGCAGAUAUCAGGAAGAACACCCGUGGCGAAGGCGGCUCUCUGGGACGGUACUGACGCUGAGGAGCGAAAGCGUGGGGAGCGAACAGG